RNAcentral lists this non-coding RNA (26 nucleotides) under Cricetulus griseus (Chinese hamster). Lineage: Eukaryota; Metazoa; Chordata; Mammalia; Rodentia; Cricetidae. The record is from RNAcentral.
GCUAGGGAUGAAGGAGGAAUGCAGAA